This 1397-nucleotide long non-coding RNA is filed under the name Homo sapiens (human). RNAcentral describes it as "HSALNT0359954". The record is from RNAcentral. Lineage: Eukaryota; Metazoa; Chordata; Mammalia; Primates; Hominidae.
GUGCUAGCCCCCGCGCGGGUGCCCGCGUCCCGGCCCGGAAGAGAGGCGGGACGACGGCGCGUCCUCUCCCCGCAAGAUUACCUCGCAGCGCGUAGCCGGCUUUGUGUUUCCCCUCCCUCCUUCUCGGCAGCCGCCCGGGCUGCAGCAGCCGCCGGAUCCGCCGCUGCGGCCGCCUCUUAAGCGCCGCAGAGCCCCAGAGGGUGUGGAUUCUGCAAUGCUGCACAGAAACCUACUGCAGCCUCAGACCAACAGCAGCAGCAGCAGCGGCGGCGGCGGCAGCAGCAGCAGCAGCAUUAGCAGCAGCAGCUUCUCUCAAUGCUGAGUAACUGUCAUUGUGAAGGGGUCCUUCAGAAGGAUUCAUCAUGUGAAGAAAAAUGGCUACCUAAGUGCAGGGAUUUCAAGGGCAGCAACAGCCUUCUCUGACUAUAUCUCCAAAGUAUCCCUAUUUACAGUUGAAUACAGAUAAUCAUGAGGCCCAAGACCCUAAGGAACAGUGCAGCCAGGAGUCGGAAGGAGCCUGGGUUUCUGAAUCAUCACAUGGAGGGGAGCUGUCUUCAGCUGGGAGAGCUGUCUUCAGUUGGAUACUGGGAGGAAGAAAGGGAGCUGGUUAGGAAGCAAACUUGAGUUUCCCAUGCUCUGUGGCUGAGCAAGUCACUUCACCAUUCUCAGGAUGGAAGUGGGGAUGGAGGUGGCAUCGGCCUCAUUUGAACCACAUGGACUAAGAGGGGCUAUGGGAGUAUUCCCCAAAGGAAGACUGAGGGGCGUUACUAGAAAAUGGGAGAAUGGAAGCAGAGUGGGCAAAACCAACAGAUGUUCCCUAUAGUAAAUAAAAAAUUUGGACAAUUAUUAGUGAGCAAGUACUUAUAACAUAUAUGGCACAUGGGAUUGUGACUCACCAGUGUGUUAGCACAAUAUGGUCAAAAACCUCUGAUCCAAUUCAACCUACUCAUCUUAACGAUUUUAUCAGCAUUUAAUAAGUUUGUUUUGGCCAUCAUGUGUUAUAGUUUUGUUUGUGGUUUUGACACCUCAUUAGAGGUUUCAUCAGUGUAAGGAGCCAACCUAAGAGCUCUUCUCACAAGUUUCCCAAGAGAGAAAUUGCCCCUCCAAAUGUGAGGAGUCUCACUUUAUAUAGAUAGCAUCCACACUUCUUGCAGUGGAAAACAAACCUUAUAAAAUGUAAUACGUUUGGUUUCCUAACUUUUUCAUGACCCUGGGGUGGUAGAAGGAAGUGCAAGUUUUAUCACUUGGAUUUAGAGACAAGGAAAUUGAAAUGGAGAGAGAAUUGGGCUCACAUGCAGGCAGCAUGUCUAGCUGCCUCCAUCGUGUGAUCUGAGGCACCCCAUGAGGCCUAUGAUUACUGUAAACCUCUAAAAUAAAUAAAAAAUAAAACAAUCUCU